RNAcentral lists this ribosomal RNA (278 nucleotides) under uncultured bacterium. Its description in RNAcentral is "partial 16S ribosomal RNA". It matches the Rfam family "Bacterial small subunit ribosomal RNA", at positions 65 to 339 of the family's 1533-position model. The record is from RNAcentral.
AGCGAGAACCAGGACUUCGGUCCUGGGGACAGCGGCGAACGGGUGAGUAACACGUGGGUAAUCUGCCCUCGAUUCUGGGAUAGCCCGGGGAAACUCGGAUUAAUACCGGAUAGCCUUUCAAGCCUUCGGGCGUGAAAGAAAGGUAGCUUCGGCCUCCGAUCGAGGAUGAGCCGCGGUGGAUUAGCUUGUUGCGGGGUAAUGGCCCACCAAGGCGACGAUCCAUAGCUGGUCUGAGAGGACGAUCAGCCACACUGGGACUGAGACACGGCCCAGACUCC